This 286-nucleotide unclassified non-coding RNA is filed under the name uncultured fungus. RNAcentral's name for it is "sequence contains ITS2". The record is from RNAcentral. Lineage: Eukaryota; Fungi.
AACGCAAAUUGCACUUUCUGGUAUUCCGGGAAGUAUGCCUGUUUGAGGGUCAAUUUAAUAACAAUCGAUGUGUUGCUUUUAUUAGUAAUACAACGGAAUUGAGUUAUCUUAUCCUUAGGUUAAGAGGCUUAAAAUUAAUUUAAUUUUGUAUUUAAAACGUAUUUAGAAUUUUCUAUGCGUUUCGGAUGCAAGAAUUUUAUUAGGUAUGAUCAUUUUUUAUGAUAUCAUACUCAUAAUUUCUUCAACUUUUGACCUCAAGUCAGGUAAGAAUACCCGCUGAACUUAA